Long non-coding RNA from Neogale vison (American mink), 686 nucleotides. RefSeq lists it as uncharacterized. The transcript is spliced from 3 exons. The record is from RefSeq and is a predicted model, not a curated record. Lineage: Eukaryota; Metazoa; Chordata; Mammalia; Carnivora; Mustelidae.
CUGCAGGACACUGUUUGGAAAUACCUAAACGAACUUGAUGGCGACUCCUAGCCUGUGUUUGAGCGGACGGGACCGACUUAGACGCGUUUUGUAAAAGACGCCCCCCUCCCCCCAGCCGCUUGCCUGACCCGCAGUUUAUUUUUGUCUGUUUUUAACCUGGAGCCGUCUCAAAAGCAAGCCACGAACGGACUGCUCGGCAGCUCACUUGGAGAAGGCACAACCAGCUCUCGACGGAGCGCGGCCUGCAGUCAGCACCGGGCAGAAGGCACCGGCUGGCCCUUUCCGUAGGACCAGCGGCGGCAGCGCGGGCCCCCAGGUUUCGGUUAGACCGCAACAGGAAGUUUUCUCUUCCCUUGCGGGAAGCCGUGCAACCAAAGAGAAACUUGAACUCCCACUCCCGCGGGAGCACCCAGAGAUUCGGCUUAGGUGACGCUUCUGGGCACCCAGUUAUCGGACUCCUUGUUGUGACCUCCUUAGCGGCUUCCCCAAUAUUUUGGGGUCCUUGGAGAGCUGGAGUGGUGGCCUGUUGCCGUGUAUGGACCCAAUCUGGGAUACCACUUUAAACUAGUGAGAUCUUUAUUGAAGGGAUUUUCAGGAAUGGAGGGAAAUGAAAAAGACAAAAUCAUUUUCCUUUCUCUUGAAGACUGAACAAAAUGCACGAGGAUUCGGUAAAUGACAAAUGUCUU